GACGAACGCUGGCGGCGUGCCUAACACAUGCAAGUCGAACGGAAAGGCCCUGCUUUUGUGGGGUGCUCGAGUGGCGAACGGGUGAGUAACACGUGAGUAACCUGCCCUUGACUUUGGGAUAACUUCAGGAAACUGGGGCUAAUACCGGAUAGGAGCUCCUGCUGCAUGGUGGGGGUUGGAAAGUUUCGGCGGUUGGGGAUGGACUCGCGGCUUAUCAGCUUGUUGGUGGGGUAGUGGCUUACCAAGGCUUUGACGGGUAGCCGGCCUGAGAGGGUGACCGGCCACAUUGGGACUGAGAUACGGCCCAGACUCCUACGGGAGGCAGCAGUGGGGAAUAUUGCACAAUGGGCGGAAGCCUGAUGCAGCAACGCCGCGUGCGGGAUGACGGCCUUCGGGUUGUAAACCGCUUUCGCCUGUGACGAAGCGUGAGUGACGGUAAUGGGUAAAGAAGCACCGGCUAACUACGUGCCAGCAGCCGCGGUGAUACGUAGGGUGCGAGCGUUGUCCGGAUUUAUUGGGCGUAAAGGGCUCGUAGGUGGUUGAUCGCGUCGGAAGUGUAAUCUUGGGGCUUAACCCUGAGCGUGCUUUCGAUACGGGUUGACUUGAGGAAGGUAGGGGAGAAUGGAAUUCCUGGUGGAGCGGUGGAAUGCGCAGAUAUCAGGAGGAACACCAGUGGCGAAGGCGGUUCUCUGGGCCUUUCCUGACGCUGAGGAGCGAAAGCGUGGGGAGCGAACAGGCUUAGAUACCCUGGUAGUCCACGCUGUAAACGGUGGGUACUAGGUGUGGGGUCCAUUCCACGGGUUCCGUGCCGUAGCUAACGCUUUAAGUACCCCGCCUGGGGAGUACGGCCGCAAGGCUAAAACUCAAAGGAAUUGACGGGGCCCCGCACAAGCGGCGGAGCAUGCGGAUUAAUUCGAUGCAACGCGUAGAACCUUACCUGGGUUUGACAUGGAUCGGGAGCGCUCAGAGAUGGGUGUGCCUCUUUUGGGGUCGGUUCACAGGUGGUGCAUGGCUGUCGUCAGCUCGUGUCGUGAGAUGUUGGGUUAAGUCCCGCAACGAGCGCAACCCUUGUUCACUGUUGCCAGCACGUUAUGGUGGGGACUCAGUGGAGACCGCCGGGGUCAACUCGGAGGAAGGUGGGGAUGACGUCAAGUCAUCAUGCCCCUUAUGUCCAGGGCUUCACGCAUGCUACAAUGGCUGGUACAGGGAGUGGCGAGCCUGUGAGGGUGAGCGAAUCUCGGAAAGCCGGUCUCAGUUCGGAUUGGGGUCUGCAACUCGACCUCAUGAAGUCGGAGUCGCUAGUAAUCGCAGAUCAGCAACGCUGCGGUGAAUACGUUCCCGGG
RNAcentral lists this ribosomal RNA (1343 nucleotides) under uncultured bacterium. Its description in RNAcentral is "16S ribosomal RNA". It matches the Rfam family "Bacterial small subunit ribosomal RNA", at positions 28 to 1378 of the family's 1533-position model. The record is from RNAcentral.